RNAcentral lists this ribosomal RNA (492 nucleotides) under uncultured bacterium. RNAcentral describes it as "partial 16S ribosomal RNA". It matches the Rfam family "Bacterial small subunit ribosomal RNA", at positions 30 to 507 of the family's 1533-position model. The record is from RNAcentral.
AUUGAACGCUGGCGGCAUGCUUUACACAUGCAAGUCGAACGGUAACAGGCCUUCGGGUGCUGACGAGUGGCGAACGGGUGAGUAAUGCAUCGGAACGUGCCCAGAGGUGGGGGAUAACGCAGCGAAAGCUGUGCUAAUACCGCAUGUGAUCUGAGGAUGAAAGCGGGGGACCAGGCAGCAAUGUUUGGCCUCGCGCCUUUGGAGCGGCCGAUGUCAGAUUAGGUAGUUGGUGGGGUAAAGGCCUACCAAGCCGACGAUCUGUAGCUGGUCUGAGAGGACGACCAGCCACACUGGGACUGAGACACGGCCCAGACUCCUACGGGAGGCAGCAGUGGGGAAUUUUGGACAAUGGGCGCAAGCCUGAUCCAGCAAUGCCGCGUGCGGGAAGAAGGCCUUCGGGUUGUAAACCGCUUUUGUACAGAACGAAAAGGCUCUGGCUAAUACCUGGGGCUGAUGACGGUACCGUAAGAAUAAGCACCGGCUAACUACGUG